Molecule: small RNA, 28 nt
Filed under: Bombyx mori (domestic silkworm)
Lineage: Eukaryota; Metazoa; Arthropoda; Insecta; Lepidoptera; Bombycidae
Description: ovarian small RNA-35853
Source: RNAcentral
UGUCUUGAUGACCUGUGCGUAAACAAUA